AGAGUUUGAUCCUGGCUCAGGAUGAACGCUGGCGGCGUGCCUAACACAUGCAAGUCGAGCGAGAAGGAGGAAGCUUGCUUCCAAAUUCUAGCGGCGGACGGGUGAGUAACGCGUGGGCAACCUACCCUGUACAGGGGGAUAACAAUGGGAAACCACUGCUAAUACCCCAUAAUACCUUCUAGGGGCAUCCCUUAAAGGUCAAAGAAUUUCGGUACAGGAUGGGCCCGCGUCUGAUUAGCUAGUUGGUGAGGUAAUGGCUCACCAAGGCGACGAUCAGUAGCCAGCCUGAGAGGGUGAACGGCCACACUGGAACUGAGACACGGUCCAGACUCCUACGGGAGGCAGCAGUGGGGAAUAUUGCACAAUGGGCGAAAGCCUGAUGCAGCAACGCCGCGUGAGCGAUGAAGGCUUUCGGGUCGUAAAGCUCUGUCCUAAGGGAAGAUAAUGACGGUACCUUAGGAGGAAGCCCCGGCUAACUACGUGCCAGCAGCCGCGGUAAUACGUAGGGGGCAAGCGUUAUCCGGAAUCAUUGGGCGUAAAGGGUGCGUAGGCGGCCCUGUGGGUCAGAGGUUAAAGGCUACGGCUCAACCGUAGUAAGCCUUUGAAACUGCAGGGCUUGAGUACAGGAGAGGAGAGUGGAAUUCCUAGUGUAGCGGUGAAAUGCGUAGAUAUUAGGAGGAACACCAGUGGCGAAGGCGAC
RNAcentral lists this ribosomal RNA (700 nucleotides) under uncultured bacterium. RNAcentral's name for it is "bacterial SSU rRNA". It matches the Rfam family "Bacterial small subunit ribosomal RNA", at positions 8 to 725 of the family's 1533-position model. The record is from RNAcentral.